GCAGUCCAUGGGGUUGCAAAGAGUCAGACACGACUUGGCGACUGAACAACAACAACAAGAAGAAGAAAUGGAGACCUGGAGUGGUGAAUAGCCUCGAUCAAGGUCAUCACCCUCAGAAGUAGAAGACACAGGCCGCCUCUAGCCCAGACUCUCUGCCCUCACCUCCAGUGCCACCUCCUCUAUCCCACUGCUGGGAACAUCUGCUGGGCCAGCCUGGGUGAGCGCCCUGGAAAGAUGGCAGGGACCUCAUUCCCCUCCACUGCCUGUUGGGAGACUUGUCUCUCUUUCUACUUCUUAUAAUAUAAAGUGUAUGUGUGUGUGUGUGUGUGUGUGCAUGCACACACGUGUGUAUUUAAAAAAUCUUCUGUCAGCACCAUAUUAAUCUGAAAUUGCAGCAGGAAUAAUACUUCAGUGUCCUCUUUACUUUCCCUGGUUCCAACAAUCUUACAGUAUCAAACAGCCUCCGCUUCAGAGCAAAAAUAAUAAUGAAUGACUUAAAAUAACUCUGCUGAAGAAACUGAAGGUUUGAUUUGAAUUGCAGAGGUAAUGACUCCCUUUUAGUUCUUCUUUUUCUUCAUUUCCUGGCAAAGGCUUUCAGAAUAUACUAGAUCCUCCUACAUCCAAAGAUUCUGAGAGUCAAGAAAAACCAGAGUCAAAUUAUUUGACCUAAAAGUGUGUAUGUUAGGUAUCUAUCCUGGUAAUUCCAAAAUACCACCAAUGUCACCUUAAGAAUAGGAAGGUGAUAGGAAGGAAUUGAUGUUUUAGUCUCUCUGAGGCUUUCUCUGGUCCAUGGGGAAUGAUGUGGUCUCCCCACCACUGUACUGCCUACACGAGCAUCUUCCUCUGCAAUGGGUCAGAGUGGUCCAUAUGCCACAGAAGCCUAUUACACGCUUAUCCCAUUAAUCACUGUGAUCCGUAUCAAUAGAAGGGAAUUCUCAGAAGAAGCUGAAAUGCAGAUUUAACCAAUGUGGCCUUGAGCAGAUUCAUUAUAACUCCUUGCAUAGGUCCCCAGGGGACAUGGCAGGUCACGGGUAUACUGUGCGCUUCCGUAGAAACCCUGCUUAACCCCCAUGGGCAUAAAUGAAGCUGAAAUGAUCAGAGAAAUAUACACUGGUGUAUGCUGGCCCUGUGGCUCUGUUCAAUCAUAAUAAAGUUCUGUGGAUUUAAUCAAUUUUCUCUGUAGAGUGUCACAGCAGACAGAGCUGUGAAUUGCACAUUCUGUUUUGGCUUUGAGAAUAGUUCUAUUCAACCAAGUAGCCAAUGGGAGCACAGUUAAUUAAUAAAAGUACAUUCCUUUUCAGUACAA
This is a long non-coding RNA of Bubalus bubalis (water buffalo), 1306 nucleotides long. RefSeq lists it as uncharacterized. Lineage: Eukaryota; Metazoa; Chordata; Mammalia; Artiodactyla; Bovidae. The transcript has 2 exons. The record is from RefSeq and is a predicted model, not a curated record.